GACGAACGCUGGCGGCGUGCUUAACACAUGCAAGUCGAACGGAAAGGCCCUGCUUUUGUGGGGUGCUCGAGUGGCGAACGGGUGAGUAACACGUGAGUAACCUGCCCUUGACUUUGGGAUAACUUCAGGAAACUGGGGCUAAUACCGGAUAGGAGCUCCUGCUGCAUGGUGGGGGUUGGAAAGUUUCGGCGGUUGGGGAUGGACUCGCGGCUUAUCAGCUUGUUGGUGGGGUAGUGGCUUACCAAGGCUUUGACGGGUAGCCGGCCUGAGAGGGUGACCGGCCACAUUGGGACUGAGAUACGGCCCAGACGGCUACGGGAGGCAGAAGUGGGGAAUAUUGCACAAUGGGCGGAAGCCUGAUGAAGAAACGCCGCGUGCGGGAUGACGGCCUUCGGGUUGUAAAAAGCUUUCGCCUGUGACGAAGCGUGAGUGACGGUAAUGGGUAAAGAAGCACCGGCUAACUACGUG
This 468-nucleotide ribosomal RNA is filed under the name uncultured bacterium. RNAcentral's name for it is "partial 16S ribosomal RNA". It matches the Rfam family "Bacterial small subunit ribosomal RNA", at positions 28 to 507 of the family's 1533-position model. The record is from RNAcentral.